UCCGGUUUGUCACCGGCAGUCAUCCUAGAGUGCCCACCCAAAGUGCUGGCAACUAAGAUCAAGGGUUGUGCUCGUUGCGGGCCUUAACCCAACAUCUCACGACACGAGCUGACGACAACCAUGCACCACCUGUCUCCUCUGUCCCGAAGGCCGCCACUAUCUCUAGUGGAUUCAGAGGGAUGUCAAGACCUGGUAAGGUUCUUCGCGUUGCUUCGAAUUAAACCACAUACUCCACUGCUUGUGCGGGUCCCCGUCAAUUCCUUUGAGUUUCAGUCUUGCGACCGUACUCCCCAGGCGGGGCACUUAAUGCGUUAGCUUCGGCGCGGGAGGAGUCGACACCUCCCACACCUAGUGCCCAUCGUUUACGGCGUGGACUAC
Molecule: unclassified non-coding RNA, 378 nt
Filed under: uncultured Paenibacillaceae bacterium
Lineage: Bacteria; Bacillati; Bacillota; Bacilli; Caryophanales; Paenibacillaceae
Description: contains 16S-23S intergenic spacer region
Source: RNAcentral